GACGGAGGAUGCAAGUGUUAUCCGGAAUCACUGGGCGUAAAGCGUCUGUAGGUGGUCGAAUAAGUCAACUGUUAAAUCUUGAAGCUCAACUUCAAAACCGCAGUCGAAACUAUUAGACUUGAGGAUAGUAGGGGUAAAGGGAAUUUCCAGUGGAGCGGUGAAAUGCGUAGAUAUUGGAAAGAACACCGAUGGCGAAGGCACUUUACUGGGCUAUUACUGACACUCAGAGACGAAAGCUAGGGUAGCAAAUGGG
Molecule: ribosomal RNA, 253 nt
Filed under: uncultured bacterium
Lineage: Bacteria
Description: partial 16S ribosomal RNA
Rfam family: Bacterial small subunit ribosomal RNA
Source: RNAcentral